RNAcentral lists this ribosomal RNA (1533 nucleotides) under metagenome. RNAcentral's name for it is "bacterial LSU rRNA". It matches the Rfam family "Bacterial large subunit ribosomal RNA", at positions 1399 to 2912 of the family's 2925-position model. The record is from RNAcentral.
AGGCUGAAAAGCGUAGUCGAUGGGAAACAGGUUAAUAUUCCUGUACUUCUGGUUACUGCGAUGGAGGGACGGAGAAGGCUAGGCCAGCUUGGCGUUGGUUGUCCAAGUUUAAGGUGGUAGGCUGAAAUCUUAGGUAAAUCCGGGGUUUCAAGGCCGAGAGCUGAUGACGAGUCGUCUUUUAGAUGACGAAGUGGUUGAUGCCAUGCUUCCAAGAAAAGCUUCUAAGCUUCAGGUAACCAGGAACCGUACCCCAAACCGACACAGGUGGUCGGGUAGAGAAUACCAAGGCGCUUGAGAGAACUCGGGUGAAGGAACUAGGCAAAAUGGCACCGUAACUUCGGGAGAAGGUGCGCCGGCUAGGGUGAAGGAUUUACUCCGUAAGCUCUGGCUGGUCGAAGAUACCAGGCCGCUGCGACUGUUUAUUAAAAACACAGCACUCUGCAAACACGAAAGUGGACGUAUAGGGUGUGACGCCUGCCCGGUGCCGGAAGGUUAAUUGAUGGGGUUAGCGCAAGCGAAGCUCUUGAUCGAAGCCCCGGUAAACGGCGGCCGUAACAAUAACGGUCCUAAGGUAGCGAAAUUCCUUGUCGGGUAAGUUCCGACCUGCACGAAUGGCGUAACGAUGGCGGCGCUGUCUCCACCCGAGACUCAGUGAAAUUGAAAUCGCUGUGAAGAUGCAGUGUAUCCGCGGCUAGACGGAAAGACCCCGUGAACCUUUACUGUAGCUUUGCACUGGACUUUGAGCCUGCUUGUGUAGGAUAGGUGGGAGGCUUUGAAGCGUGGACGCCAGUUCGCGUGGAGCCAUCCUUGAAAUACCACCCUGGCAUGCUUGAGGUUCUAACUCUGGUCCGUAAUCCGGAUCGAGGACAGUGUAUGGUGGGCAGUUUGACUGGGGCGGUCUCCUCCUAAAGAGUAACGGAGGAGUACGAAGGUGCGCUCAGACCGGUCGGAAAUCGGUCGCAGAGUAUAAAGGCAAAAGCGCGCUUGACUGCGAGACAGACACGUCGAGCAGGUACGAAAGUAGGUCUUAGUGAUCCGGUGGUUCUGUAUGGAAGGGCCAUCGCUCAACGGAUAAAAGGUACUCCGGGGAUAACAGGCUGAUACCGCCCAAGAGUUCAUAUCGACGGCGGUGUUUGGCACCUCGAUGUCGGCUCAUCACAUCCUGGGGCUGAAGCCGGUCCCAAGGGUAUGGCUGUUCGCCAUUUAAAGUGGUACGCGAGCUGGGUUUAGAACGUCGUGAGACAGUUCGGUCCCUAUCUGCCGUGGACGUUUGAGAUUUGAGAGGGGCUGCUCCUAGUACGAGAGGACCGGAGUGGACGAACCUCUGGUGUUCCGGUUGUCACGCCAGUGGCAUUGCCGGGUAGCUAUGUUCGGAAAAGAUAACCGCUGAAAGCAUCUAAGCGGGAAACUUGCCUCAAGAUGAGAUCUCACUGGGAACUUGAUUCCCCUGAAGGGCCGUCGAAGACUACGACGUUGAUAGGCUGGGUGUGUAAGCGUUGUGAGGCGUUGAGCUAACCAGUACUAAUUGCCCGU